CCUCGCCCGGCACUGGAGAAAGAGGUAAGUUUAACCCCUUCCACCCCCUAGAGCCUGGAGGGAGGGGGACCCUGAGGGUGGGGGCACCGUCAGGGCACUAUAGUGCCAGGAAAACGAGUAUGUUUUCCUGGCACUAUAGUAGUCCUUUAAACAGGCUGGCUACAGAGCGUUUAAUUUCAAAUAAGCGGUGCGCCUUCGCUUCUUCCCUCCGUAGGGAGGGGUAAAUCAACCAAUCAGAUACGGAUCCUGCCCCUAGUGGGUCCACAAUUUACCUUUUAGUUCCUGGACCUGGGUUCACACUCAUCAGCGGGACACCCCGGUACUCACUGCGUAGAAGCCGAUGAUCUCCUGGACAACAGGCCAGUGGCGCCGAGACGAAAGGAGGUCCACGCAGAAGUCCAGGGGUGCUGCCGUGGAAGAUUUGGUAAAAGGUUACCGUCUCAAAUCUCUAUGCCGGCUUCCAUGCGAUGAGAUUCCCGGCCCAAUAGCACCAGUAAUGUAGCAGGAAUAAGCCGCAGAAGCCACAAACAGAGAGAUGGAAGCAGGUUCGUUCAGUAAGAAAAAGGUCUUUAUUGUUACCGAUCGGGUCUCAGAUGAACUCCUGUUCUAAAAAUGUCUGAGCACAGACUGCAAAUGAUUUUUAUUAACAAUAACUCCUCCUUUAACUAGUUCCACUCACACAUACCCUUCGACCAGUCAGUGAACAGGAUAUUCAGGAUCACCUCAUAUGGGCAGACUGCAUGACUCCUUUUUAAGGACAAAGGAAUGUGAGUACAGUUGAUGCACAUGCUCAGUACAUUGAUGACAGUAUCUUAGCUACAUGUAACUAACAGAUACAACAAACACCUGUACUUGUAUAUACCACAUGGAGAUUUCAGGCUUACUGAAUUUUGAACCAUGUUGAAAUCCCAUCACAUUCCCCCCUUUGAUGCUUCUGAUACAAAAGUAUUCCAGAUGCAUCACCAAUCAUGUGCCAACACCACUCAGGUAACCAUGAGCUGGGACAGACCUUAUAAACAUUCUAACUUAACUCUAUUACCUCUCAACACUCAUCGAC
Non-coding RNA from Pelobates cultripes (western spadefoot toad), 1057 nucleotides. Lineage: Eukaryota; Metazoa; Chordata; Amphibia; Anura; Pelobatidae. The record is from the annotation of a GenBank genome assembly.